GAUGAACGCUGGCGGCGUGCUUAAUACAUGCAAGUCGAGCGAACGGACGCUACGUUUGCUUUUCUGAUGUUGCCGACGGACGGGUAAGUAACACGUGGUUAACCUACCUCUAAGACUUGGAUAACUUCGGGAAACCGUAGUUACUACCGGUUACUAUUUUUAACCUCAUGGUUCAAAAGUUAAUGCCGUUUUUGCUGUCCUUUCUACCUGGAUCCUCGUUGCAUUAGUUAUUUGGUAAGGUAACGGCUUACCAAGGCAACGAUGCAUGGCCGACCUGAGAGGGUGAACGGACACACUGGAACUGAGACACGGUCCAGACUCCGACGGGAGGCAGAAGUAGGGAAUCUUGCGAAAAGGGCGAAAGACUGAAGGAGCAACGCCGCGUGAGUGAUGAAGGGCUUCGGAUCGGAAAACUCUGUUAUUAGGGAAGAACAUAUGUGUAAGUAACUGUGCACAUCGUGACGGUACCUAAUCAGAAAGCCACGGCUAACUACGUG
This 497-nucleotide ribosomal RNA is filed under the name uncultured bacterium. RNAcentral's name for it is "partial 16S ribosomal RNA". It matches the Rfam family "Bacterial small subunit ribosomal RNA", at positions 28 to 507 of the family's 1533-position model. The record is from RNAcentral.